This 301-nucleotide ribosomal RNA is filed under the name uncultured bacterium. RNAcentral describes it as "partial 16S ribosomal RNA". It matches the Rfam family "Bacterial small subunit ribosomal RNA", at positions 509 to 807 of the family's 1533-position model. The record is from RNAcentral.
CAGUCGCCGCGGUAAUACAGAGGGUGCGAGCGUUAAUCGGAUUUACUGGGCGUAAAGCGUGCGUAGGCGGCUUCUUAAGUCGGAUGUGAAAUCCCUGAGCUUAACUUAGGAAUUGCAUUCGAUACUGGGAAGCUAGAGUAUGGGAGAGGAUGGUAGAAUUCCAGGUGUAGCGGUGAAAUGCGUAGAGAUCUGGAGGAAUACCGAUGGCGAAGGCAGCCAUCUGGCCUAAUACUGACGCUCAGGUGCGAAAGCGUGGGGAGCAAACAGGAUUAGAGACCCCUGUAGUCCCUGUCUCUUAUAC